Long non-coding RNA from Raphanus sativus (radish), 1551 nucleotides. RefSeq lists it as uncharacterized. NCBI's taxonomy places the organism in Eukaryota, Viridiplantae, Streptophyta, Magnoliopsida, Brassicales, Brassicaceae. The record is from RefSeq and is a predicted model, not a curated record. The transcript has 5 exons.
CCAUUAGAUCAGGAGGAUCCACACUUACACCAAACUGCCUUAUUUGGAGAGUCUUGCAAUAAAUCUCCAACAGCUCUUUUCUCUUCAGUUAAGGCACAACCUCAACACCUUGCAGACCAUAAAGAAGAUUCCCAGAAAGCUUACUUACCCCCUCAAACCGUCCAGAUACAAGAAGAACAUCAGCUACAUUCAUUUGGCCAAGAUCUUCACCAUUAAGUCUCCAACGGCUAGUUUUCAUGGAGCCAUCAAUCCCUUUGCUUCCAAGUCUAUUAUUUCGAGUUUAUUACUUUCCUUUUAUCAUUUUAUGACUGUUAGAGUCUGUCUUGGUCGAGCUUAUAAAGCUCUAGUCUUUGCUUCAUUAUAAAUCACCCUUGAAUUUUAUGAAUGAAAAUAUAGUUUUCUAGUUUUCUUAAAACUAUUGUUUCAAGUCUUUAGAGUUUGUGAGAAGCAGCUCCAGAGCAACCAGGCUUAUCAAAGUCUCCUAUCACAGAGCUUUGUGAUUUCUAUUCAAUCCAUCUUGUCCAUCAUCCCACAGAUUGAGAGAUUCAAUCAAACCUUCAUCCGCAAAUCCACUUCAGUCCAUCUUUUGAUCAAGCUGAGAGUGAUACACAUCCAGCAGCUUGAUUCCGCCAUAUCUAUCCUUUAUCUUUUUUUAUUUACUCUGAUUUAUUCUUCAUAUCAUUAGCAUCUCAUACAUACUUCAUUUGUUUCUGAUUUGCUUCAUAGAAGCUCAUAAAACUCAUAAAAAUCUAUCUUCUUUGUUUUCAGGUUGAACCUCAGUUCAUCAAUUCUUAUAGUCUGAUUUCCAGGCUGUAUCACCAAGACUAUAAACCAGUUUCUGAAUCUCAUAAUAAGAAUCAGCAGACAUAUUAUCUUCCGGCAAAUACUCUUUAAGCAAGUCUGCCCAUUCAUUCAUGCAACAUUCAGGUUCUUCAUCUUCAUCAUGAGCUACGAAUGCAUCAGUUACCAUAUCAUGAACCCUAUCAUAAUCUACCAUCUGCUCCUCUUGAUGAACAUCUUACCGGUUUCUUGGGCGAGCGGUGUGGAAUCUGCUUGAUGCAUAAAUGUCUCCAGCCCCGCAAGAAAGAGAAUAGUUUCAUUUUCAGAUUUGAGCGACCGCAUUGAUCACCGACUGUAUUCCAGAAUAGUUUCGGAGGUGGAGACGAUUUGUAAAGACUCUGCUGGUGACAGAUGGAGAAGCAUCGCGGAUUAGGAAAUCUGUAACGACGACGUAACAGGUUGGUGGCAAUGUGACUGAAGUCUUGCCGGUUCGAGUUCACAACAACGUGUUGCGAAGAUAUUUUCAACUAUUAUUAUUAUAAAUGCAAGAUUUAGGCUGUCAAGUAUAUUUUCGGAGCUGGAUUUGAACCGGCCAGUGAAUACAUUCUCAUAUAAUGGUGCGAUGUGUAUCUAAAUGGAAUAGAUCGUCUGCAUGUAAAAUGGAAAGAUUAUACAUGUGAAAUGGAAUGUAUGAUCUUUACUAUUUGUUUUAUGGUAUUCUAUUUGCAGAACAACUAUAAAUAUGAUUUUACAUUGAACAAGCAUGAGUUA